Molecule: long non-coding RNA, 267 nt
Filed under: Solanum tuberosum (potato)
Lineage: Eukaryota; Viridiplantae; Streptophyta; Magnoliopsida; Solanales; Solanaceae
Description: long non-coding RNA (STUB_LNC001726)
Source: RNAcentral
CUAUUGUAUAGAAUGAGAUACCAAAUGAUGAAUCAAUCAGCUUUGAAGUCAGACCUAUUUGUUCGAUUCUUUAGCAUGACUCUACCACAAAUAAUACGAGAUUACUAACGUAUUAGUUUCAAGUAAAUGGGCACGUUCAAAUGAUACUUCUUUUAGCAUGUGAUUAUGUUUAUUACCAAAUAAUUAUGGGACAUUCUUCUAUGUGAAAGUUGUUUCUGCAUAGUUAAUGUCUCCAUCUGUGAAGUUUUACGGCGAAUGACUUUUGAG